RNAcentral lists this ribosomal RNA (253 nucleotides) under uncultured bacterium. Its description in RNAcentral is "partial 16S ribosomal RNA". It matches the Rfam family "Bacterial small subunit ribosomal RNA", at positions 524 to 776 of the family's 1533-position model. The record is from RNAcentral.
UACAGAGGUCUCAAGCGUUGUUCGGAUUCAUUGGGCGUAAAGGGUGUGUAGGUGGCGCGCUAAGUCGGGUGUGAAAUUUCGGAGCUUAACUCCGAAACUGCAUUCGAUACUGGCGUGCUUGAGGACUGGAGAGGAGACUGGAAUUUACGGUGUAGCAGUGAAAUGCGUAGAUAUCGUAAGGAAGACCAGUGGCGAAGGCGAAUCUCUGGACAGUUACUGACACUGAGGCACGAAGGCCAGGGGAGCAAACGGG